This 204-nucleotide long non-coding RNA is filed under the name Phoenix dactylifera (date palm). RNAcentral's name for it is "long non-coding RNA (PDAC_LNC018226)". Lineage: Eukaryota; Viridiplantae; Streptophyta; Magnoliopsida; Arecales; Arecaceae. The record is from RNAcentral.
CCCUUUGGAAUUCAAGUAUAAAUUACAGCAAGACAGUAGAUGUUGUUUCACAACAAAGAGCCCAAAAAAUGAAGACUUACCAUACAUUAUAUAUUUUAACUGAUGGGCAGGGUGGAUGCUCAGUUGAUGUGAAGAAGUGGGGGUUUGAUAUAUGUUGUUGAGGAUGUGACCAUUGGUUAGGUAGGGUUUCCUGCUGCCCAACUG